Molecule: ribosomal RNA, 776 nt
Filed under: uncultured Neocallimastigales
Lineage: Eukaryota; Fungi; Neocallimastigomycota; Neocallimastigomycetes; Neocallimastigales
Description: partial large subunit ribosomal RNA
Rfam family: Eukaryotic large subunit ribosomal RNA
Source: RNAcentral
AGAGAGAGACAUGCGCGCAUAUCAAUAAGCGGAGGAAAAGAAACUAACAAGGAUUCCCCUAGUAACGGCGAGUGAAGCGGGAAGAGCUCAAAUUUGAAAUCUUAAAGGGUUUCCCUUUACGAAUUGUAGUUUAAAGAAGUGUUUUCUGUUGAGGUUUUGGUAAAAGUUCUUUGGAAUAGGACAUCAUAGAGGGUGAGAAUCCCGUAUUUGACCUUUACUUUCAACUUUGUGAUAGCACUUUCAAAGAGUCGGAUUGUUUGGGAAUGCAGUCCAAAAUGGGUGGUAAAUUUCAUCUAAAGCUAAAUAUUGGCGAGAGACCGAUAGCGUAACAAGUACCGUGAGGGAAAGAUGAAAAGAACUUUGAAAAGAGAGUUAAACAGUACGUGAAAUUGUCAAAAGGGAAGCGUUUGACACCAGUGUUGUUUUUCUGAAAAUCAAUUAAAGAACUGUUUAUGCUAAGUUGUUUAGACUUUAUCAGUUAACUGUUUAGUUUUGAGCUUUUCUUUAAUGCACUUUUCAGUUAACAAGUCAACAUCAAUUUCUUUUGCUGUAAAAAAGCUUGAGGAAGGUGGCUUGAGAUUCGUCUUAAGUGUUUAUAGCCUCUUGCCUAUGCAGUCGGAGAGAUUGAGGUCUGCAGCGUAGAUCCUUCGGGGCUAAAUGCAUUUGUGCUAAGUUAUAGCAUUUUAUAGACAACUUGUUGACUAUGAUUUGUCUUGUAGCUUACUCGCUUAUGUUAUUUUACCUACGCUUAGGAUGUUGAAGACUCUACAGAGAUA